Molecule: ribosomal RNA, 263 nt
Filed under: uncultured Staphylococcus sp.
Lineage: Bacteria; Bacillati; Bacillota; Bacilli; Caryophanales; Staphylococcaceae
Description: partial 16S ribosomal RNA
Rfam family: Bacterial small subunit ribosomal RNA
Source: RNAcentral
CGGACGGGUGAGUAACACGUGGAUAACCUACCUAUAAGACUGGGAUAACUUCGGGAAACCGGAGCUAAUACCGGAUAAUAUAUUGAACCGCAUGGUUCAAUGGUGAAAGACGGUUUUGCUGUCACUUAUAGAUGGAUCCGCGCCGCAUUAGCUAGUUGGUAAGGUAACGGCUUACCAAGGCAACGAUGCGUAGCCGACCUGAGAGGGUGAUCGGCCACACUGGAACUGANACACGGUCCAGACUCCUACGGGAGGCAGCAGGC